AACCAUUUGAUCUGCUCACUAAGUCACAAACCUGACUGCCACAACUGGAAGAGCUACUCUUCAGAGAUGGAGAGGCAGAGAUACACCUUCAAAAAGGAUUGCCAAGCCAGGUAAAAUUUGUCUUAUUUUCUUUGAACUUAAAUUAGGCUUGUUGUUUGUAAAUUCAUAGAUAAGUUUCUAAAGGAACCUGGUAAAACUUCUUGUGUAUUAACUACAUUAUACAGGAACUAAACUCAUAGGCUGCAAGUAACAUUAGUCAGGGGAACUCUCUGACUCAUAACACAAAGUGUUUCCAGAAAAGACCUAGUGACAGCACAAGUAUUUGUACAGAUGUGUGUCUAAAAGAACAGAUUUGGUGGAGUAAAACAUAAAAGGUUUGUUUCAGUUCCUCACCUGCUUCACUCUGUGACCAUACGGGUGCUCGUGCUGUGCAAGAAAGAUGUACAAACCAGAAAAGGA
RNAcentral lists this long non-coding RNA (459 nucleotides) under Parus major (Great Tit). RNAcentral describes it as "lncRNA (ENSPMJG00000019958.1)". Lineage: Eukaryota; Metazoa; Chordata; Aves; Passeriformes; Paridae. The record is from RNAcentral.